AGAGUUUGAUCCUGGCUCAGGAUGAACGCUGGCGGCGUGCUUAAUACAUGCAAGUCGAACGGACAUGUAGUAAUACAUGUUAGUGGCGAACGGGUGAGUAACGCGUUGGUGACCUGCCCCGAAGUGUGGGAUAACAGUUCGAAAGGACUGCUAAUACCGCAUGAGGUUGCUGGGGUUAGAGGCCUGGCAACGAAAGGAGAAAUCCGCUUUGGGAGGGGCCUGCGUCCCAUCAGCUAGUUGGUGAGGUAAAAGCUCACCAAGGCGAUGACGGGUAGGGGGCCUGAGAGGGUGACCCCCCACACUGGCACUGAAACACGGGCCAGACACCUACGGGUGGCAGCAGUAGGGAAUAUUGGGCAAUGGGCGAAAGCCUGACCCAGCAACGCCGCGUGUGCGAUGAAGGCCUUCGGGUCGUAAAGCACUUUUCGGGGAGAAGAGGAAGGACGGUAUCCCCGGAAUAAGGAUCGGCUAACUACGUGCCAGCAGCCGCGGUAACACGUAGGAUCCAAGCGUUAUCCGAAUUCACUGGGCGUAAAGCGCGUGCAGGCGGCACGGUAAGUUGGAUGUGAAAUCUCCCGGCUCAACUGGGAGAGGACGUUCAAUACUGCCGAGCUAGAGGGCGACAGAGGGAGGUGGAAUUCCCGGUGUAGUGGUGAAAUGCGUAGAUAUCGGGAAGAACACCAGUGGCGAAGGCGGCCUCCUGAGUCGCACCUGACGCUCAGACGCGAAAGCUAGGGGAGCAAACGGGAUUAGAAACCCCGGUAGUCCUAGCUGUAAACGAUGUAGACUUGGCGUAGGUGGUGUAAGAGCCAUCUGUGCCGCAGCAAAUGCGAUAAGUCUACCGCCUGGGGACUACGGCCGCAAGGUUAAAACUCAAAGGAAUUGACGGGGGCCCGCACAAGCAGCGGAGCGUGUGGUUUAAUUCGAUUCUACGCGAAAAACCUUACCCGGGUUUGACAUACAGGUAGUAGGGAAGCGAAAGCGGACCGACCCUUCGGGGAGCCUGAACAGGUGCUGCAUGGCUGUCGUCAGCUCGUGUCGUGAGAUGUCCGGUUAAGUCCGGUAACGAGCGCAACCCUCGCUAUAUGUUACAAGUGUCAUAUGGGACUGCCGGUAUAAAGCCGGAGGAAGGUGGGGAUGACGUCAAGUCAGCAUGGCCUUUAUGUCCGGGGCUACACACACGCUACAAUGGCCGGGUACAAUAGGUUGCAAAUCCGCGAGGAAGAGCCAAUCCAUAAAACCGGCCACAGUUCAGAUUGCAGGCUGCAACCCGCCUGCAUGAAGUCGGAGUUGCUAGUAACCGCGCGUCAGCAAUAGUGCGGUGAAUACGUUCCCGGGCCUUGUACACACCGCCCGUCACGUCAUGGGAGCUGGCAACACCUGAAGCCGGUAUCCUAACCGUAAGGAGGGAGCCGUCGAAGGUGGGGCUGGUGACUGGGACGAAGUCGUAACAAGGUA
This 1458-nucleotide ribosomal RNA is filed under the name metagenome. RNAcentral's name for it is "bacterial SSU rRNA". It matches the Rfam family "Bacterial small subunit ribosomal RNA". The record is from RNAcentral.